Molecule: ribosomal RNA, 253 nt
Filed under: uncultured bacterium
Lineage: Bacteria
Description: partial 16S ribosomal RNA
Rfam family: Bacterial small subunit ribosomal RNA
Source: RNAcentral
UACGGGGGGGGCAAGCGUUGUUCGGAAUUACUGGGCGUAAAGGGCUCGUAGGUGGCCAUCUAAGUCAGACGUGAAAUCCCCAAGCUUAACUUGGGAACUGCGUCGGAUACUGGAUGGCUUGAAUUCGGCAGAGGGAUGCAGAAUUCCAGGUGUAGCGGUGAAAUGCGUAGAUAUCUGGAGGAAUACCGGUGGCGAAGGCGGCAUCCUGGACCGACAUUGACGCUGAGGAGCGAAAGCUAGGGGAGCAAACGGG